CCGCAGCAACCCCGAGCUCUGCCUCCUGUCCACCCGUGUGUCUGUGCACACAGCAUGUUGCUGUCAGGGAACGGCCUCCUGCUUCUCGAGUGCCAUGGGACUGGCUUUUGUUUGUGUUUUUCUUACCUAGGACUGGGACAAAAGAUGGCCUGGAGCCAGGAGGUGCCGCCCACCAGUAGGGCUAGGCUGGGAGAGCUACUUUUUCCCCACCAGAGCCGCCUCUGCUUUCAGUCCCAGGCUGCACCCCGCUGGCCUUUCUGGGCCACACCAGGACCAUUCUCUUGGCAAAAUCUGAGGGAAGUGAGGAAACCAAGGGCUCUUAUGAAAUGGACAGAGUGCGGGGUGGGCACCAGCUGGGCUGCGUCCCUGGCCAGAGCUGUCGGCCAAGUUGGAGGACAGAACAGGGUGCUGGGAGGGAAACAUGGAUUCACUGCAGUGCUCAGGCCACCAAGCACACCACCUCCCAGACACGAGGGAAACCCCAGCAUCGGCAGAGGAGUGAGAUUUUGCCACAGUCUGGCCCUGGCAGUUGAGGAGCAGCUGGUGGGAGGCGGGAGAUGUGCAGGCUGAGCACAGGCUCAUGUGUGCGAUGACUCAGGUCCCUCACUGGAGACACCAGCUGAGAGGAGAGACUGCAGGGCCUGGCACACACAGGGCCACUCUUCCUGCUGCCGGCCAGAAGGAGCUGCUUUGAUGCCUCUCUCCUUUGCUCAACUGCCCUCUGCCUAGAGCAGGCCACGUCCCUACUGGGGCAGGGAGCUCACUGGCCUCCAAGGUCCUGUUUAUCCGCAGCUUCAGUGGAAGGAGGUCCACUCUCCUGCUGUUGCCACCUCCUGGUUGAGCAGCACCUUGUCCAGAACCGCCUCGUCUUCAUUCUCAUUGUCUUUAUUUCUGGUUUUCUGCUGUGCCGCAUUUAUCCCAUGCAUAUAUGACAGCCUUUAAGAAACAUCAGAGAGUAACAGAGACGGAGGUGCCGAGAAUCAGCAAAUGGAGAAGCCCUGGGCUCUGUUCCCCAGUGCUGUUGUGUUAAAGGAUUUUGUUAUUGUCAGUGGUGGUUUGCCCUUUUUGAAAAAUGGAAGCAUCAAAGUUUUAAACUUAUGCUAUCAUUAAAAUAACAACAACAUUCAUUGUCUGAAACAAAAAUUAACUGUGAAGUGAGAAUUUGAGAAGUCUCAGCCAGAACACAGUGCUGACCUUCAUCUGCGUUUUGUAGCCACCACGUCCAAUCCAUCACCUGCUGGUUGUAGCGGCAGAGAGAAGGAUGCAACCCCUGUCCUGCUGUUGUUUUAUGGCUGAUGAUUCAUGAAGACAGAAAAAAUGCCCUCAUUUUGGCAGCUUUCAUUUGAUCAUUCUUUCCCACCUUCCCCAGCCUCUGGGAGAUGUGUUUAUUGCCAGCUUCACUGCAGAGGAGACAAAUAAGUAACCCAGAUGUUGGUGUUUGUGGUGCCUUUGCAGACACCUCCAUGACACGUCAUAUCAUACACUGCAUAUUGGAUGUAACGUGAGCAAUUUAUGAGUCCAGACGCAUCGACUGCUCUCCUUGUGCCCCUGCUGACAUUCCCAAGAGAUCAAUAUCCUGUAAAAGCCUGAAGAUUGCUUCCUUUAAAUGCUUACUAAUUACAGAUUCUGCAAAACUAUUUCAUAAGCCAGUUCUGUGGAACCCCUUUCUGGCCAUUUCCUGAAGCAACUUUCUUUCCUAAUCAUCCCCAUAACAUGAAGGCCAGGUUCUGCAAGUAAAGGGUGGUGAGGCAAUUCUGGAAUCAUCUAAGUGGCAAGCCCAGGGGGGUGGGUUUCAGAGAACACAUAGAGGAAAGUGGAGGCUCGGGAGGUGUGGAAAUACUGACCUGAUGGAAUUAACCAUCUUCCCGGGAGCAAGACUGAGCCCAUGGAGGGUGCUGUGGAGCUUGCUGCAGGUUCUGCUGGAUAGGAAAUUGUGUCUCAUCCACCUGCUGUCUGCUUCUGUCCUGUCUUAGCCCAGCAGAGCUGUUUUAACACAGACAUUUGCAGCCUGCCCAGUACUCUCCUGGAACCAAUAAGUCGCCAGUUAGGAAAAAGAUCAGCACUGACCAAACACAGAGAUGUUGGAAACCUGCAUUAAUCCCCAGUAGAGGCAGAGGCUCUGAAUGCUGAAGCCACAGCUACGACUUGGCCACACUCUGCACAUGGCCCCAGACAUUCAGAUUUCUGCACCCUCAGGGUGGCUUGCAGGCUCCAGAGCCGGGGUUCGGGCCCUGCUGACCACAGCCAGCUGUCCCCUGCAGCCUCAGACCAGGGCCAAAUUCCUGGUGUGCUUCCCUCCUGCACCCACUCAACAGCUCUGUGGCCUUUGCAAGCACCUGCCUGACAGGGCUAUGGCAAUGUGUGGAGUCAGACAAUGGUGCCAAGUCGGGAGCGGACUUACGGUGAGACAGUGUAGAUAAAGCCUGGGGCCCAGCUCCCCAGCAGCACCUGCUCCUGCACUGUGGCCACCGUGGCAACGUAGCUGCUUCUAUUUCCUUGAGCUCCAUUGCCAUCUUUUCCCAGGCGGGGCCCCUUCACCCCCUGCACCUGCCACCAUCCGCCCUUGCCCCUUACUCCUGAGCCUCCUUUCAGUCCUGCUCUUGGAAGGGAAAGAACCCCUGGCUUGGGGAGCCUGCCUGGUCCUGGGGUGGCCGCCUGCCAAGGCCCUGGCAUCUCCCAUCCUGAGGCUCCUGCCCUGCCUCUGAGCUCUCCCUCUCACUCCCGUCCCCUUGGCCUCUCCCGGCUGGGGCCUUGCUGUCUGUCACCCCUGAACGGAGCUGAUGCUGACACCCCAGAACAGCAGGGACCUGGAACUGUUCCAGUCACCUGCUUCAAGCAGCACCUUGAGGACAGACCUUCACCUGCACUUGGAGCAUUUAGUUGAACUGCAGUUUUGAUAAUAAUGUAACUGUGUGCAAACACUAGAGCAAGUGACUGUGGUGUGGAAGGGCGAAUACUCGGGAAGUGUGGGAUUUUUGUCUGAGAAGUUUAUUCAGCAAGCAGCUAAUUCAUGGUAACAUAAAGAAAGUUGAUAUGAAAACUGCCCUUCCCCUAUAUCCCUAAGGAGACCACCAAGAAGACCAGGACAUGCUAUUACGUAUGUUCUAGAAAUGAUGAAGGGGAGCACUGGGGAGCUAAGAUACAUGGGUUUAAUCUCAGAUUCACUUCCGAUGAACCGCCCUCCUUCGUGCAUCCACUCUGAAAGGCGUGGCCUCAGUACGAAUUUGGGAAGCUUUUGCAGUGGCAGAAGUCAUGAAAUUAGGGGGCAGCACCUUAGGGCCAUCAAAAGGGAGGGUUGUCUUGGGAAUGAAGGUUUGGCGUUAACAGAUCUGGCUUGUUGGGUCUAAAGAACAACAAAGUAUUCCUCCCUGGCUCUCGGAACUCAAGGUCCUGAGCUCUUCAAUACUGGGCAAGUUCACGUUUGCACAUUUCGCACAAGCAGGAGGCAGGGUGAGUUGUUGGGAUUCAUGCCAGGCAGAGCCGAGCACAUCAGGGGCCCUGGGUAAAAGGGGGUGGGGACAGCGCAGGCACCAAAGGUCUUGGCAUGGGGUUGCCAGCCACCAGCAGACACCAGAUGGGAAGGGAAACCGCAGGCCCACCGUUUGCCUCUGCCUGCGGGGUGCUGCCCCCACAGUGCCUCUCAGGUGUCUGUAGUCUCACACUUGUUUCUCACCCUCAAUGUGGAUCACAGCUGCCGCAUGUCUCUGUAAGCACCACAAGGCCGGUGGCAUCCCCUUGGGCUCACAGGAUGCCUGAACCACCAGCCUCAUCCUGAACUCCCCUCCAUGUACGUGAGCCCCAUUAGCUUUUCUCCCAUUUGUAGGCAAUGGAAGGCCAAACUCUCUUAGAGAAAGAACAAGAAACUAGGGUGAGCUGCCUCACAUGUUGAGAUGUGGAAAACUGAGAUUUAUUUGCAGAGAAAAGAACUGGGCUCCACUGUCCUGAGGGUGCCUCUGGUCUCUCGCAGUUGGAUCCCCUCACAUUUCCCAAGCCCAGGUCCAGAUCUCCUCCUCCCCACCCUAUCUCUUCACUUCUCAUAAACCAGCUCCCCUAGCUUUGCCCAGAUCACCCAGCAACACCAUGGCAGGUAAAUCCUUCCUCUUUACAGUAGACUCUGAAAUUCGCCCUAUGUUUCCCACUCCCCUCUUCGUCGAUGAAAAGGAACAGCUUGGGGUUUCCAGCACCUGGUGCCUCCUGUCUGCGGCCCCUCCAGGACAUUGGCUGUAAAGCUUUCUCCUCCUCCAGACGCCUUCGUGCACCCACCUGCACCGACCGUCCCGACCUCAGCCCACCUUUUCUCCAUCCUGAGCCACAGUACAUGUCCCCCAGGAAUCUGUGGCUCUGACCACCUCUGACAAUUCACUCCCCGUCAGCCCCUUGGGAACCCCAAGAGAGUUCAGCCUGAGCCCCCGGCCUUCCGGGCCUCCCCAGCUGUGUUUCCGGUCAUUCCUUUCCUCGAGUCCCUCCACCCUGGAUGCCCAGGGUGCCACCCUAGCCUCCCCUACACGCUGGCUUGGUUCUUCUCAACCAUCGCCAUUGGCUUGGUUUCUGUUGUGUUUGGUUUUUAGGGGUCAGGCUGCCGAGUGCUGUUCUUCUCCUGGGCUCUGUCCUCCUCUCUCUCCUUGGGUUGCAGCAUCCAGGUCUGAUCCAAUAACUCCACAGCACACAAUGCGGCCCAGGCCAUGCACGGAGGAAGACAGCAGAGCGGCCAUGAGGCUCCCAAAGGGAGCCAGGGCCCAGGCCCAGCACACCCUGCCCACAAUCCCCUGCAUCCACUGCCUCUCCUGCACCCGGCACUGGGCAGCGUGGGCUGUGUCAGCGGUGUCCCUCCUCCCUUCUCAAUCUGUUGUGAGCUCCAUUAGGCCAGGGACCGGUCCUUAGAAGCUGUGGGACCCUUCAGCCUCCCUAGCAGAAUGUCUUGCACACAGUGGUGGCUCCAUAAAAUAUUUAUUUUCUAUUUUGUCCAUUUAUUUUAUAAAUCUCAUGCAGGCCAGAUAGAUUGGAAUUAUCAAUUACUCUAGAAAAUAAAAGGAUAAAAGCAAGAUCUGGAAAUACAGACCGAGCAGCACUGGAAUGCACCAACUAAGGCAGAGAGGCCCCCUGAGGCUCCGCGACUGCUGGACCAUUUAAGGCAACAUCAUAUCUCAAGUGGGGAGGGAGAGAAUCCGCCGGUCUCAGCGGGGGUGGGUUUUUUAAAGUGGAUUUAGUCAUGGUCUGGACUUGCCCAAUUUUCUGUGCUAUGCUGUGGGAAGGGACAAGGUCCUAAACUACCCUCACAGGACUUAAAUAAAACAAAGAACACAUACAGGUGGGUGGGAAGGCAGUCAGAUGACUCAAUUCUGUGCCCACCACCCAUGGCCCCUGAUGGGUCAUGCCUUCUGCUUAGACAACAGCCUCCUAGACCCCACAGAUGGGGGCAAUGGCAUAAACUCAGACCUGCAGCCGAGGCCUGACUCACCACAAUGGCCCUGCCCUGCACUGCCAGUGACAGACCUGUCACUUUCUCACUGAUCCUUCAUUUUCCUAUGAAAUGGGGCUAAUAUUGCCUCUUUCUAAGGUUGCUAUUAGGAUUAAUUUUUGAGAUAAUAGACACUGAGAUAACAAACCUGCCAAGUGUUACAUCGAUGUGAUUAUCCUGAGAUUGAGAGGAAAUGUCAGUGAGGCACUAGGUGGUGGCAUGGCCGUGAGUGGGAGAAAGAGGGUGGAUGUUCCAGAUGUCCCUGGAUCUCUACCAAAGAGAAGAUGCAGCGAAAGGACAGCCGUGUUCCUGGUGUCUCCUUUUCCCCUCAGGACAAUGAAUUACGGGUUUUCUGUGCCUUAGUUUUCUUCCUUUCAAAUGCAGUUAAUAAUACUGUCUCUCAGGGGGUAUUCACAGACGUGAACAAUUAAUGAUCGCAAAGUGCUUUGAAAAUAAAUGAGCUUACUCAUAAUGGUGGUGUUUGAUAUUUAUAAUAAUAAGCCUGUGCUGCUGGCUUCGCGAACUAUAUUCAUUGGUACAGAGCUUAGUUUUAUGACUGGCUUUUUCAAUAUUUUAACAUAAAAUCCUCUUAUUUUAAAGUAAUCAAAUGACCUUCCUGCAUUCCUCCAGAGUCUUAUUCGGAAAAACUUAAGAUUUGAUCAUAGAUCUAUUUUAAGAAGUGCCAAGUUAACUGACAUCGAUGCCAUCGUAUCUGGAGUCCCUAGGAAAUCCAGGGGGGGACAAUGAACCGUAGGAAGACUCGGACUCGGGUCUGCCUGUAGCACUCGGAGCCUGCAAGGCAACACAGUUAUUGAGUUCUAUUAAAAUUACUUGGUGUGGCUAUAAACCAAACCACACCCCUGUAGCCAAUGCGAAGAGCUUCCCGUAAAAGCCGUGCGGUGGGAAGGCCUCUCGCUGUCUCCUCUGCGCGGCAGGCAGACAUGGACGACACCGAGGCGUGAAUUCAGCCUGCACCUCCUAAAGAUGAGCUGUUGAGGGCGAUGGCCACAGCAAGUCCGCACCAAGUGCUCUUUAAACAUGAGUGUUUCUUUAAACAAAGAACCUUCCCGGCAUUGAGGUCUGAUUAAUGAUGCCCCGGCACCUCCUCCCUCACUCAGGGAUCACUUCCCUGCGGCGCGUUCCCAGACGCAGGCUUCCCUCACGGAGGCGGGAAGAUUUCAGGCGCUGUCUGUUCUUGUCUUUUGUCAGCACGGACAAGGAUGGAGACCCCACUGGUCAGGCGAGCCCCGCGGUCCCUGUUCCUCACUUCACCACCUGGGGAAGCCUGAUCCCCAUCGAUUCGCAAAGGAACAAGGAAAGAACACGUUUUACCUGGAUGGAUGGUCCCCCUCACGGUGGCCUUGGAACCCGCUUCAGCGGGAGAGGCAGCGCCUCACUCACGGCUCCCCCUGGCCGCUGCUUUACCAGGGAGCGCCACCCCGUGCCCCGCCAGAGGAAGUGCAGGCGCCAGCACAGCACGGGCCGAAAGCCACACUGUGGGACCCGCAGCGCAGCUCCAAGAAAUCCAAAGUCCAUUCACAAGAGGAGCUUCUCCGCCAAAUCGUUGAAAAAUAAAACGAGAAAUGAGUCGCCACCGGUAUCCGCUUUAGUCAGCCGUACGAAAACGCAACCCGGUCAGCUGCACUUCUGCUGCCAGCCCUCCUCCAGUCAAGCACCGGCCUCGAGAAGGGCAAAGGGCAGGUAGGAGUUCCGACGCAUGCGGCCACGGGGCGGAGUCACAGUUCAGAGGCCUCAGCUGAACCUGAAGUUAUCCUAAGCUCGAGCCCCAGAGUGAGGACUCGGGGUCAGGCAUCCGAUUCCCCAUCAGCUCCUUUACUAAAGCUGUGCAGAGAAUCCGAGGCUAUGAGUGGGGGUGGGGGAAAGAUGUACAGGAUGCUUUGGUUUCACUCCUGAGAUACGAGAACGUCCUCUGAACACACAUGCAGAUAGCUGGACUUCUAGACAGAGGAAAUCCAAAUCGUUUCUUUCCUCCCAGCAUAAGGGAACGGUCCGGUAAGAGCUGGUGUUUAUCGAUGCUACGUGCCAGAAUGGGGCUGAGCACGGCGCCUCACUGUAUCCUAACGUCUAAUGAGGCAGGGAAUGUCACUGUCACACUCUGCAGACGAGGAAGCCAUGCUGUCAGCAGGUACACAUCUUGCCACAAAACCAGUAACCUGUGGCACUGAGAUCGCACACCGGUCGUCCACUGCCAAGUCCGUGGCCUCCUUCUCUGGGGUUUGCCUGCCUCUUGAUGGCGGCCAUGCCUCUGUCCUCUCGCAGGGGCUGGCUCUUCCAGUGGUCACUACUUUUUGGUUGCAAGCAGCAGAGAUUCCCUGGAGGGCUUGUUGAAAGCACUCACAUCAACGGAGCCUCAGAAAGGGAGCUGAGGCCAUGCACGGCCCUGCAGUUUCUCCUCAGGCUUUGGUUUGCAUCCCUGGCCUGACUUUCCCUCAACAAGUCCUGCUAUCUCCACAAGGCGGCCAGCCCAGCCCUGUCCUCACCUUCCAGCCCCAGCUGAGCAGCCCCUCCCCACAUCAUCUUCAGCUGCUGCCCAGGCUCCGCAGAGCAGGUGUCCACCGCCCAUCCAGCCAUUGUGUUUAGAGGGCAGAGCGACCUGCCGGGACCUUGACAACACCUGGCCCCACCCACACGUCCUGCAAUAUUCACUGAGGAAUGCACAGCAGCACAUAUGUGCCUCAUGUGUCCUGCUGUGAUGCAGCGAGUGGCACACAGCAUUAUUGUGUCAAUCAUGUGUCUUGAUGUGAUGCACUGGUUCAGACAGUAUCAUGGAUGCAGUGUUUCUUUAAAACUGUCAAAUUUGAGGAAACAAUCUAACAAAAGCCAAUUGAUGAACAUUCUGUAAAGGUGACAUAAAUACUUCAAAAAUGUCUCUGACACAGAAAG
Molecule: long non-coding RNA, 8362 nt
Filed under: Homo sapiens (human)
Lineage: Eukaryota; Metazoa; Chordata; Mammalia; Primates; Hominidae
Description: non-protein coding LINC00242:1
Source: RNAcentral